Tinamus guttatus (white-throated tinamou) is the source of this 198-nucleotide non-coding RNA. The record is from RefSeq and is a predicted model, not a curated record. NCBI's taxonomy places the organism in Eukaryota, Metazoa, Chordata, Aves, Tinamiformes, Tinamidae.
CAGUUAACACAGCAGGCCAGACUGUGCAGCAGGUAGUGGACCAGGCCAAGGAUGCAGGCCAGAAAGCUCUUGAUGAAGUCUGCAAAGUGGCUGAAAGUGGUGAGAAAGCCGUAAAAAAUGUGGCAAAUCAAGCCACUGCCUGGCGAAAAAGCUUUGGACAGUGAAGAUAAGAUAAUGUAACACUACUGAAAUGUUUGU